This 290-nucleotide ribosomal RNA is filed under the name Prasinoderma coloniale. RNAcentral's name for it is "partial Eukaryotic small subunit ribosomal RNA". It matches the Rfam family "Eukaryotic small subunit ribosomal RNA", at positions 623 to 916 of the family's 1831-position model. Lineage: Eukaryota; Viridiplantae; Prasinodermophyta; Prasinodermophyceae; Prasinodermales; Prasinodermaceae. The record is from RNAcentral.
AAAGCUCGUAGUUGGAUUUCUGGCAGGAGUGACUGACCACAAACUCUGUUUGUGAGUUGUGUCAUUCUGGCCAUCCUUGGUAAGAUCCUUUUUGGCAUUAAGUUGUCGGGAAGGGGAUGACCAUCGUUUACUGUGAAAAAAUUAGAGUGUUUAAAGCAGGCUUAUGCCGUUGAAUAUAUUAGCAUGGAAUAAUAAGAUAGGACUUUGAGUCUAUUUUGUUGGUUUGCGAGUCAAAGUAAUGAUUAAUAGGGACAGUUGGGGGUAUUCGUAUUUCAUUGUCAGAGGUGAAA